UUAAAAAGUAAACCACAUCGAGAUGUCCUC
Molecule: non-coding RNA, 30 nt
Filed under: Mus musculus (house mouse)
Lineage: Eukaryota; Metazoa; Chordata; Mammalia; Rodentia; Muridae
Source: RNAcentral